Molecule: ribosomal RNA, 272 nt
Filed under: uncultured Ascomycota
Lineage: Eukaryota; Fungi; Ascomycota
Description: partial 18S ribosomal RNA
Rfam family: Eukaryotic small subunit ribosomal RNA
Source: RNAcentral
UUGGAGGGCAAGUCUGGUGCCAGCAGCCGCGGUAAUUCCAGCUCCAAUAGCGUAUAUUAAAGUUGUUGUGGUUAAAAAGCUCGUAGUUGAACCUUGGGCCUGGCUGGCCGGUCCGCCUCACCGCGUGUACUGGUCCGGCCGGGCCUUUCCCUCUGUGGAACCCCAUGCCCUUCACUGGGUGUGGCGGGGAAACAGGACUUUUACUGUGAAAAAAUUAGAGUGCUCCAGGCAGGCCUAUGCUCGAAUACAUUAGCAUGGAAUAUAGAAUAGGA